CAAACUCCGAAUACCGCAGAAUGUCAUCACGGGAGACACACGGCGGGUGCUAACGUCCGUCGUGAAAAGGGAAACAACCCAGACCGUCAGCUAAGGUCCCAAAGUUAUGGUUAAGUGGGAAACGAUGUGGGAAGGCAUAGACAGCUAGGAGGUUGGCUUAGAAGCAGCCAUCCUUUAAAGAAAGCGUAAUAGCUCACUAGUCGAGUCGGCCUGCGCGGAAGAUGUAACGGGGCUAAAACUAUAUGCCGAAGCUGCGG
RNAcentral lists this ribosomal RNA (257 nucleotides) under Skeletonema menzelii. RNAcentral's name for it is "partial Bacterial large subunit ribosomal RNA". It matches the Rfam family "Bacterial large subunit ribosomal RNA", at positions 950 to 1205 of the family's 2925-position model. Lineage: Eukaryota; Bacillariophyta; Thalassiosirophyceae; Thalassiosirales; Thalassiosiraceae. The record is from RNAcentral.